This 229-nucleotide ribosomal RNA is filed under the name uncultured bacterium. RNAcentral describes it as "partial 16S ribosomal RNA". It matches the Rfam family "Bacterial small subunit ribosomal RNA", at positions 568 to 796 of the family's 1533-position model. The record is from RNAcentral.
UACGUAGGCGGAAAAUUAAGUCAGUGGUGAAAUCCUGCAGCUUAACUGUAGAAUUGCCAUUGAUACUGAUCUUCUUGAAUUUAGUUGAGGUGGGCGGAAUGUGUAAUGUAGCGGUGAAAUGCUUAGAUAUUACACAGAACACCGAUUGCGAAGGCAGCUCACUAAACUAACAUUGACGCUAAGGUACGAAAGCGUGGGGAGCGAACAGGAUUAGAUACCCUGGUAGUCC